UGGUUGAUAAGAGCAUAAGUGACAUGGAGUGUAUUUAUGAAGAGUUAAGGCCAAAUUAUUUAGAUCUGUUUUGACUCGAGUCAAAUAAUCAUAAUUCAGACAGGUAGCAACUUGAUAGAUCUUUAGUAACCAUGUUGUGAUUGUAAACAUUUGCAGUUCUUGUAGUUUUCCAUGUAUUAGGAUAGAAGCUAAGGGCCUGUUUUUACUUGUGGAAAAAGUUAUAUGUUUGCAUUUUUCUUUUUCUAAGAACUCAAGUUUUCAUUUUCCAUGAAAAAUAAGGGAAACAAUUACAACAACAACUAAGCCUUAA
This 310-nucleotide unclassified non-coding RNA is filed under the name Hevea brasiliensis (rubber tree). Lineage: Eukaryota; Viridiplantae; Streptophyta; Magnoliopsida; Malpighiales; Euphorbiaceae. The record is from RNAcentral.